Long non-coding RNA from Balaenoptera ricei (Rice's whale), 376 nucleotides. RefSeq lists it as uncharacterized. NCBI's taxonomy places the organism in Eukaryota, Metazoa, Chordata, Mammalia, Artiodactyla, Balaenopteridae. The record is from RefSeq and is a predicted model, not a curated record. The transcript has 3 exons.
GUUUCCGGGUCGGCCCCUACCCCGGCCCGACACACCUCCAGUCUCAGCGUUUGGGUGCGUUUGAUUCGUCUGGUGUCCGGGGAGCCGGGCUGCUUCCUCGGGGCUUCAAGUUAAAUGUUUCGGACAACUCCAGCAGGUCAAGGAAUACUUCCCUGGGUCUCUUCAGAUGGAAAAAGAGAUUCCUGGUCCCUGAAGAGCUGUUGUAAAGUGAGCAGAGCCUCACUAAGAUCAAUGGAAUCCUCAUCUGGAACUCACCUACUCACAGCAGUGGCGAUAGUGGUACUCCUGCCUCAUCACUGUGUCAUGAAUUUUGAAACAACAACAACGACAGAAACAAGAGUGUCGUGGGUCUUAAUUUCUGGCAAUUGAAAGUCUA